UACGGGGGGAGCAAGCGUUGUUCGGAUUUACUGGGCGUAAAGGGCGCGUAGGCGGCGCAACAAGUCACUUGUGAAAUCUCCGGGCUUAACCCGGAGCGGCCAAGUGAUACUGUCGUGCUAGAGUGCGGAAGGGGCUACUGGAAUUCUCGGUGUAGUGGUGAAAUGCGUAGAUAUCGGGAGGAACACCAGUGGCGAAGGCGACUACCUGGCCUGUUCUUGACGCUGAGGCGCGAAAGCUAGGGGAGCAAACGGG
RNAcentral lists this ribosomal RNA (253 nucleotides) under uncultured bacterium. Its description in RNAcentral is "partial 16S ribosomal RNA". It matches the Rfam family "Bacterial small subunit ribosomal RNA", at positions 524 to 776 of the family's 1533-position model. The record is from RNAcentral.